This 926-nucleotide ribosomal RNA is filed under the name uncultured bacterium. Its description in RNAcentral is "bacterial SSU rRNA". It matches the Rfam family "Bacterial small subunit ribosomal RNA", at positions 8 to 916 of the family's 1533-position model. The record is from RNAcentral.
AGAGUUUGAUCAUGGCUCAGGACGAACGCUGGCGGCGUGCCUAAUACAUGCAAGUAGAACGCUGAAGAAAGGAGCUUGCUUCUUUUGGAUGAGUUGCGAACGGGUGAGUAACGCGUAGGUAACCUGCCUUGUAGCGGGGGAUAACUAUUGGAAACGAUAGCUAAUACCGCAUAACAGCUUUUGACACAUGUUAGAAGCUUGAAAGAUGCAAUUGCAUCACUACGAGAUGGACCUGCGUUGUAUUAGCUAGUAGGUAGGGUAACGGCCUACCUAGGCGGCGAUACAUAGCCGACCUGAGAGGGUGAUCGGCCACACUGGGACUGAGACACGGCCCAGACUCCUACGGGAGGCAGCAGUAGGGAAUCUUCGGCAAUGGGGGCAACCCUGACCGAGCAACGCCGCGUGAGUGAAGAAGGUUUUCGGAUCGUAAGGCUCUGUUGUAAGAGAAGAACGUGUGUGAGAGUGGAAAGUUCACACAGUGACGGUAACUUACCAGAAAGGGACGGCUAACUACGUGCCAGCAGCCGCGGUAAUACGUAGGUCCCGAGCGUUGUCCGGAUUUAUUGGGCGUAAAGCGAGCGCAGGCGGUUUAAUAAGUCUGAAGUUAAAGGCAGUGGCUUAACCAUUGUUCGCUUUGGAAACUGUUAAACUUGAGUGCAGAAGGGGAGAGUGGAAUUCCAUGUGUAGCGGUGAAAUGCGUAGAUAUAUGGAGGAACACCGGUGGCGAAAGCGGCUCUCUGGUCUGUAACUGACGCUGAGGCUCGAAAGCGUGGGGAGCAAACAGGAUUAGAUACCCUGGUAGUCCACGCCGUAAACGAUGAGUGCUAGGUGUUAGGCCCUUUCCGGGGCUUAGUGCCGCAGCUAACGCAUUAAGCACUCCGCCUGGGGAGUACGACCGCAAGGUUGAAACUCAAAGGAAUUGACGG